GGCCGGGUAGCUCAGUCGGUAGAGCAGGGGACUGAAAAUCCCCGUGUCGGCGGUUCGAUUCCGUCCCCGGCCACCA
Molecule: transfer RNA, 76 nt
Filed under: Nevskia sp.
Lineage: Bacteria; Pseudomonadati; Pseudomonadota; Gammaproteobacteria; Nevskiales; Nevskiaceae
Description: tRNA-Phe
Rfam family: tRNA
About the family: Transfer RNA (tRNA) molecules are approximately 80 nucleotides in length. Their secondary structure includes four short double-helical elements and three loops (D, anti-codon, and T loops).
Source: RNAcentral